RNAcentral lists this non-coding RNA (346 nucleotides) under Eucalyptus grandis. RNAcentral describes it as "Eukaryotic small subunit ribosomal RNA". It matches the Rfam family "Eukaryotic small subunit ribosomal RNA", at positions 654 to 978 of the family's 1831-position model. Lineage: Eukaryota; Viridiplantae; Streptophyta; Magnoliopsida; Myrtales; Myrtaceae. The record is from Rfam by way of RNAcentral.
CUAAUAAAUGCAUCCCUUACAAAAGUCGGGGUUUGUUGCAUGUACUAGCUCUAGAAUUACUCGUCCCUUCUACUGGCGAUACGCUCCUAGCCUUAACUGGUUGGGUCGUGCCUCUGGUGCUGUUACUUUGACGAAAUUAGAGUGCUCAAAGAAAGACUACGCUUUGUAUACAUUAGCAUGGGAUAACAUUAUAGGAUUCUGGUUCUAUUGUGUUGGCCUUUGGGAUUGAAAUAAUGAUUAACAGGAACAGUCAGGGGCAUUUGUAUUUCGUAGUUAGAGGUGAAAUUCUUGUAUUUAUGAAAGACAAACAACUAGAAAGUAAAAAGAUUGGUUGAUGCUGCUUAGC